RNAcentral lists this ribosomal RNA (906 nucleotides) under uncultured bacterium. RNAcentral describes it as "bacterial SSU rRNA". It matches the Rfam family "Bacterial small subunit ribosomal RNA", at positions 20 to 895 of the family's 1533-position model. The record is from RNAcentral.
GCCUGCAGGACGAAUCGCUGGUCGGCGUGCAUAACGCAUGCAAGUCGAGCGGGGAUGCUAAGUGGAGAGGGGGCAAUCUCCUCGAAAGCUUAGCAUCUUAGCGGCUGAACGGGUGAGUAACACGUGAGCAACCUACCCCUCUGCUCGGGGAUAACAGCUCGAAAGGGCUGCUAAUACCCGAUGGGACCACGUCACUGCAUGGUGAUGUUGUGAAAGGCUGGACGUAAGGUCCAUGCCGGCUGGCGAUGGGCUCGCGGCCCAUCAGCUAGUUGGUGGGGUAACGGCCUACCAAGGGCGACGACGGGUAGCCGGCCUGAGAGGGUGACCGGCCACAGUGGGACUGAGACACGGCCCACACUCCUACGGGAGGCAGCAGCGGGGAAUCUUUGCGCAAUGGGCGAAAGCCUGACGCAGCGACGCCGCGUGAGGGAAGGAGCCCUUCGGGGGUGUAAACCUCUUUGGACGGGGAGAAGUAGGAGAUAGUACCCGUUUUAAAAAGCCACGGCUAACUACGUGCCAGCAGCCGCGGUAAUACGUAGGUGGCGAGCGUUGUCCGGAAUUACUGGGCGUAAAGGGUGCGUAGGCGGCCUGGUAAGUUGAGCGUGAAAUUUUUGGGCUCAACCCAAAAGGAGCGUUCAAGACUGCCAGGCUUGAGUGCGGGGAGAGGACGGCGGAAUUCCCGGGUGUAGCCGGUGAAUGCGUAGAUAUCGGGAGGAACACCAGUGGCGAAAGCGGCCGUCUGGACCGUAACUGACGCUGAGGCACGAAAGCGUGGGGAGCAAACAGGAUUAGAUACCCUGGUAGUCCACGCUGUAAACGAUGGAUGCUAGGUGUGGGGGAGAAGAACUCUUCCGUGCCGUAGUUAACACAAUAAGCAUCCCGCCUGGGGAGUACGGCCGCAAGGUU